UUCUUAUCAAAUUUUUAAUAAGUACCACCUGCUCAAUGAAUUAUUUAAAUAGCCGCGGAAAUUUAACCGUGCGAAGGUAGCAUAAUCAUUAGUCCUUUAAUUAGGGAAUAGAAUGAAAGGUGAAACAUUUCAAUUUCUAUUUUAUUUUAUUUCUUUUAAAUUAAAUUAAGAAUAAAAAUGUUCUUAUCUACAAAAUAGACGAUAAGACCCUAUUGAACUUUACUUUAGUUUAGCUGGGGCAGCUAAAUAAAAAUUAUUUUAUUAUUGUAUAUUAUAUAAAUGACCCAAUAAAAUUGAUUUUAUGAACAAGUUACCAUAGGGAUAACAGCGUAAUAUUUUUUUAAAGUUCUUAUUUAAAUAAAGGAUUGCGACCUCGAUGUUGAAUUAGUGUCACUUUAAUAAUGCAAAAAUUUUAAAAGUAGGUCUGUUCGACCUUUAAAACAUUACAU
Molecule: ribosomal RNA, 449 nt
Filed under: Acusilas coccineus
Lineage: Eukaryota; Metazoa; Arthropoda; Arachnida; Araneae; Araneidae
Description: partial 16S large subunit ribosomal RNA
Rfam family: Bacterial large subunit ribosomal RNA
Source: RNAcentral